GCACCGGUAGUUUAAUGGCUACGUGUUAGAAUUUCCUAUCACGCCGUAAAGAAUCCCGGCCUUCCAAGCCGGUCGUUCGGAUAUUCGAAUCCCGGCCGGUGCA
RNAcentral lists this transfer RNA (103 nucleotides) under Nanobdellota archaeon. RNAcentral's name for it is "tRNA-Gly". It matches the Rfam family "tRNA". From Rfam's summary of the family: Transfer RNA (tRNA) molecules are approximately 80 nucleotides in length. The record is from RNAcentral. Lineage: Archaea; Nanobdellati; Nanobdellota.